GCAGUGGUGGGUCAGUGGUAGAAUCCUUGCCCUCCAUGCAGGAGACCUGGGGUCAGUUCCCAGCCAUUGCA
Molecule: transfer RNA, 71 nt
Filed under: Loxodonta africana (African savanna elephant)
Lineage: Eukaryota; Metazoa; Chordata; Mammalia; Proboscidea; Elephantidae
Rfam family: tRNA
About the family: Transfer RNA (tRNA) molecules are approximately 80 nucleotides in length. Their secondary structure includes four short double-helical elements and three loops (D, anti-codon, and T loops).
Source: Rfam by way of RNAcentral